RNAcentral lists this ribosomal RNA (2331 nucleotides) under Triticum aestivum (bread wheat). Its description in RNAcentral is "partial small subunit ribosomal RNA". The record is from RNAcentral. Lineage: Eukaryota; Viridiplantae; Streptophyta; Magnoliopsida; Poales; Poaceae.
AUGAAAGAUAUGUCUUUGUAUCCGUUGCUUAAUGGCAACAUCGACAGAAAGCACCGGUGCGCCCUAUUGGAAGCGGGCAACAACUUAGACGUGUUGGUCACUCGUACCCCAAAGACUAACUGGCUGAUACACGAUUCAUGGGUUGAUAGGUUAAGUUGGGCUGGACUUCUACCCUUGGCACGGCUGGUUCAGGGUACAUUGGAUGAGUGGAUUGAUGGUCCGGACUUAGAUGAGGCAGAUAGAUGGAGGCCAGAGACACAUACGUUUCACUUCCCAUGGGGAGAGAUGGCGCCUACUUUACAGGAUGUGUUGUACUUGUUGGGAUUACCUCUGGCCGGUGCUGCCAUAGGUCCCUUAGAGGCAGAAUCAGGGUGGCAAACAGCGAUGCAGACCCGUUUUUUGGCUGCGGUCCCGACUGCUAGGGCCAUAGACAACGAUCCUCAUGGACCUCUUUUUAGAUGGUUGAGCCAGUUUCAGAUUGUCUCGUUAGGACAUCCCAAUGUUGAGUUCUCGGAGGCACAGAUUGACCGGUCCUUAGAGGCAUAUAUUCUUUGGCUGUUCGGCAAGACGAUGUUUACGGAGAACCACGUGACCACUGUCGAUGCACGACUCAUCGGUAUUGCACGAGAGAUAGCUGACGCACGUUGCCCCGCGGAUAUUCUACAGAGGAGUUUUGGUUCUGCUGUGUUAGCGGCUACGUACAGAGGCCUGUGCAAAGCUUGCUUGUUGAAGUCUAGAAAAUCUGGUGUUGUUGGAUGUCCAUUAUUGUUGCUGCUCUGGUCAUACGAGAGAUUCCCUACUGGACGACCCUAUGUCUACAUUGAUAAACCUUUUGGUUUGGAGGACUUAGCUGGGGCUUAUGUGCCUGCUAUCGGCGACUUACCUACUAUGGGUUCUGUUUGGGCACGGCGAGAGAGACAGUUUGCACAUAGUCAGGUUAGGGGAUGCUACCCGUCCUUCACGGCGCAGUUUGAUAGUUUGCACGAGGAUCAAGUUAUCUGGGAGCCAUACUCGGCUGAGGCUAUAUCAUCGAGGUACCCAGUUGGGAUUUCUGGAUUGUGCACUAGAGAUCGGCAUUUUUGGAUGACCAAGGCCAAGUUGGUGUUCGAUGUGACGGUUGAGGAGAUGUCUCUUCAUAGAGUAAUGAGACAGUUCGGUCUAUAUCAAGAGCCUGAGAUUCCAAAAAUUCCACAGUUGCCAGAGCACGUGCACAAGGACAGUCGCCUAGGAGGAAACAAGUCCAUGGAUUACUGGCUUAAGAGCAUUACCCCUUACGUUGACGAAUGGACUACCGCUGCGACAAAUACCUGGGGUGAGGGUCGGGCCUUUAACUGGCAAAUGUUCGGGUUGUAUCUGCAGCGUUACCGGCAUACAACAAGGAUCUACUUGGUUCCAUCAGCUGCUCCUGAUCAGAUCGAAGCCCCUCUCACCAGCGAUAUGUACCCAACUGCCUCUGUUGUGGGAACCAGACACCACGCGGGUGACUUGACAGUACAGGCGCGAGAGGAGGUUUCCGCUUUAAUGCGGCGCUUUCAGAGGGGAGAAACUAUCCCACCGCGAGAGGGCGUCUCAUGGUUGAGGCGUCUUGAUGACAAGCUACGGGGGAUUUACGCUGCUGUUACGUGUAGACGGUCUUCGGAUGUUGCACUUCCUCCUCCAGCACAUCGUCCGCCACGUCCCUCUGUACAGCAUUCAGAACCACGACCCUCUGUGCAACGUUCACAACCACGACCUUCUGUGCACCGUGCAGAACCUCAUCCUUCACAGCCAGGGAGCUCUUCUAGGCAUGAGCCACCUCCUUCACAGCCAGGGAGCUCUUCCUGGAAUGAGCCACCUCCUUCACAGCCAGGGAGCUCUUCCUGGCAUGAGCCACCUCCUUCACAGCCAGGGAGCUCUUCCUGGAAUGAGCCACCUCCUUCACAGCCAGGGAGCUCUUCCUGGAAUGAGCCACCUCCUUCACAGCCAGGGAGCUCUUACUGGCAUCAGCCACCUCCUUCACAGCCAGGGAGCUCUUACUGGCAUCAGCAGAUGGAACUAGGCGGCAACCUGUCGCAACCGUUCAUGCAUUCAGAGCAGUCACCCAUCCUUAGUGGUGGUGCUGAUUACUUUGAGGGCGACCGCGAGGAUGAUGACCAUGCUACAAACAUUUAUGGCUUCUCGCAGACAGUGUUUCACACUCCACCACCACCACCGACGCAGGAGACACAGACCGUGACAGACGAGGUUAACUAUGGUCGUGGUUAUCGCGAGCCUCGUCCACCGCCUCAGCGCUUAUCGCCUUCCGGUCCUCGCCCGAGGAAGACCCAGACUCGUCGCCGUCCCCCGCAGUGA